CGGUAACAGAAGAGCUUGCUCUUGCUGACGAGUAGCGGACGGGUGAGUAACGUAUGGGGAUCUGCCGAAUGGAGGGGGACAACAGUUGGAAACGACUGCUAAUACCGCAUAAUGUCGCGAGACCAAAGCAUGGGACCUUAGGGCCAUGCGCCAUUUGAUGAACCCAUAUGGGAUUAGCUAGUAGGUGAGGUAAUGGCUCACCUAGGCGACGAUCUCUAGCUGGUCUGAGAGGAUGACCAGCCACACUGGGACUGAGACACGGCCCAGACUCCUACGGGAGGCAGCAGUGGGGAAUAUUGCACAAUGGGGGAAACCCUGAUGCAGCCAUGCCGCGUGUAUGAAGAAGGCCUUCGGGUUGUAAAGUACUUUCGGUAGCGAGGAAGGGGUUAUAUCUAAUAGGUGUAACCAUUGACGUUAACUACAGAAGAAGCACCGGCUAACUCCGUGCCAGCAGCCGCGGUAAUACGGAGGGUGCGAGCGUUAAUCGGAAUGACUGGGCGUAAAGGGCAUGUAGGCGGAUAGUUAAGUUAGGUGUGAAAGCCCCGGGCUCAACCUGGGAAUUGCAUUUAAAACUGGUUAUCUGGAGUAUUGUAGAGGAAGGUAGAAUUCCAUGUGUAGCGGUGAAAUGCGUAGAGAUGUGGAGGAAUACCGGUGGCGAAGGCGGCCUUCUGGACAAAUACUGACGCUGAGAUGCGAAAGCGUGGGGAGCAAACAGGAUUAGAUACCCUGGUAGUCCACGCUGUAAACGAUGUCAACUUGGGAGUUUGGGUCCUAGAGACCUGGGCUCCGAAGCUAACGCGAUAGUUGACCGCCCUGGGGAGUACGGCCGCAAGGUAAA
RNAcentral lists this ribosomal RNA (838 nucleotides) under uncultured bacterium. RNAcentral's name for it is "bacterial SSU rRNA". It matches the Rfam family "Bacterial small subunit ribosomal RNA", at positions 67 to 897 of the family's 1533-position model. The record is from RNAcentral.